This is a long non-coding RNA of Mustela erminea (ermine), 1691 nucleotides long. RefSeq lists it as uncharacterized. The record is from RefSeq and is a predicted model, not a curated record. The transcript is spliced from 5 exons. NCBI's taxonomy places the organism in Eukaryota, Metazoa, Chordata, Mammalia, Carnivora, Mustelidae.
UCCGCGGUUCCACAUUCUAAAGUCCUUAGCAGGCCCGCCAGGACUUUGCUACUUCUCCGACCCUGAAGGUCUGGGUCGUAGAGUCCCGGAACAGACUGCUGUUGCUUGCUUGUGCCGUGGCCGUGACCGUGACCGAGACCUGGUCAGGACCCCGAGAUCAUAACCUGAGCUGAAGGCAGCGGCUUAACCCACUGAGCCACCCAGGCGCCCCUACAGCAUGAUUCUUGCAGCUAAGACCCUGCUUGGAUAAUACAACUCAGCCUGCAGGUCAUCUCCAGCAGGGAACCCAGAGUGAUAACUAUGUUGCUCUGUGACUGUGCAGGGUAACAGCCUGGUAAGUGCUGAUUUAUGGACACAUCCAGUGCAGAGACCUUCCUACCCUCCAUUCCUCCCAUCUGUAACCUGGAACAUCCCUGUGCAGGUUCUAUAAUAAGGCCCAAUGGUCCCCACCUCCUGGUCCACAUGCUCUUGUGGAAUCUCCUCCUACUAUAUGGGGUGGGGGAACCUAGAAUAUCUUUUAACCAAAGAAAUCUGUCAGUGGUGACCUUGGAAUAUAAACAAUCAUGAAUUCCAUUUUGCCUGCUGAGUUUCUACCAUCUUCUCCACCUGUAAGCUCUGAUGAAGCUAGCAGCUGUGUUGGAAAGACCAGAAACUGAGGCCAGCCUGCUGCCUACAUCCAUCAAGAAGCGGAGGCCCCCAGUCCACCAGCCCACAAAGAACUACUCAGUACUCCCCAGAGGCCCAUGAGGGAACUACUGUCAGGGUAUCAGGAAGUGCCACCUUCACGUCACUUCUCACCUUGGAAAGCAGGCAUCACCAGGAAGUCAGCUGGAAGAAGACAGGUCACAGAUAGCAGGAUUGGAUCUUUAGGGAGAAGGACCAGAGGAUUUUUUUCCCACCAAAGAGACCUCCUCGGCAGGAACUCUGGUACUCUCUGGAUUUCUUGCAUACCUGCUCCUGGAACCCUCCUACAGGAGUGGGAGAUGUGACCUUAGCUCAAGAUCCUGGAAUCCAGAGAUAGCCACGUGCAUUUUCCCAGCCGUGUAAAGAUGACAUGCAGAUCACACCCUAAAGCUGUGUGAGAGCUGAACAUAUGAGCACAUGCUGUCCAUGCUAAGUAUGCAACGGAAAUCAUCAGCCAUCGCCAAAAAAGAACCGUUUGAAGAACAUUAUAAAUGAGCUGCAGGCAGGAACGUCCUGGGAACAGUAGAACUUUCUGUAAUAGUAAUGAUGGGUGUUAAGUUCAGCAAACAUGGAAACGGUGUCAUCAGAAGCUCAUGCUGUCCCCUGAGCUGUGAAGCCAAGCAUCAAAUGUUUACACAGUGCACUUUCUGUUCACAGGAUUCUCUUGUUCACAGGCAUUACUCCUCCAGUAAAUGAUCAUCUGAGAUGGUUGCCAGAGAGGAGGGAGUGGGGUCUUGGAACAUGGGGGAGGGGCAGUGGGGACACAGGCUUCCAGUUCCAGAAUGAAUAAGUGACGGGAAUAAAAGUCACAGCACGAGGAAGACAGAUGAUGAUACUGUCAUAGGGCUGCAUCGGGCAAAUGCGAGCUACAUCUAUGAGGAAGAGAGUGUAACAUAUGAACUUGUCACAUCAUUACUUUGUACCCCUGAGACUAAUGGAAUAUUAUGUGUCAAUUAUACCCCCAAUUUAAAUACUUUUAAAAAAUUUUCUUGGGGCGCCUGUGUGGC